CACCUGACCUGACCUGGAUAACCUGACCUCUCUGUCACGGUAGCCUGAAGCAGAACCGUUUGCUGAAAACUCAGUAAGAAAGAGCUGGAGAAAGCGUUUGGUAAAUGGUUCACAAAUGCAAGAGACAGAGAAGGCAACCGUGCUUUGAGAGGCCAGCGGGAUCAUGAUCGGAGGGCAGUACAGCCGGAAAUGUGUGCAGCCGAGGAAUCUGCAUAGACCCACCAGUGAACUAUUCUACUUUAGUAAUUCUGUUAUUCCUGUUUCCUGUUUUUUUACUUGAAUUAAUUUAAAUUAAAUGUGAUUUACACAUUC
Silurus meridionalis is the source of this 312-nucleotide long non-coding RNA. RefSeq lists it as uncharacterized. The record is from RefSeq and is a predicted model, not a curated record. The transcript is spliced from 3 exons. Lineage: Eukaryota; Metazoa; Chordata; Actinopteri; Siluriformes; Siluridae.